This 480-nucleotide ribosomal RNA is filed under the name uncultured bacterium. RNAcentral describes it as "bacterial SSU rRNA". It matches the Rfam family "Bacterial small subunit ribosomal RNA", at positions 28 to 508 of the family's 1533-position model. The record is from RNAcentral.
AAUGAACGUUGGCGGCGUGGAUUAGGCAUGCAAGUCGAGCGAGAACCCGCAAGGGGGACAGCGGCAAACGGGGUAGUAACGGGUAGGUGACGUACCCUCGGGUCGGGGAUAGCCACGGGAAACUGUGGGUAAUACCCGAUAACCUCUUCGAGCGUGAUAGCUUGGAGAGCAAAGGUGUGAUUCCACCGGAGGAGCGGCCUGCCUCGUAUUAGCUGGUUGGUGAGGUAACGGCUCACCAAGGCGACGAUGCGUAGGGGGUGUGAGAGCAUGACCCCCACCACUGGGACUGAGAUACUGCCCAGACACCUACGGGUGGCUGCAGUCGAGAAUCUUCGGCAAUGGGCGCAAGCCUGACCGAGCGACGCCGCGUGUGGGAUGAAGGCCCUUGGGUUGUAAACCACUGUCAGAGGGGAUGAAGUGCCAGAGGGCAAUCUCUCUGGUUUGACAUAGCCUCAGAGGAAGCACGGGCUAAGUUCGUGC